Molecule: unclassified non-coding RNA, 214 nt
Filed under: Hevea brasiliensis (rubber tree)
Lineage: Eukaryota; Viridiplantae; Streptophyta; Magnoliopsida; Malpighiales; Euphorbiaceae
Source: RNAcentral
GACCAAUUAACAAUACACGCUUGUUGUAUCCCAUUUACCCUUUUAUAAUCGACUCCAGAAGCAAAAUUAUUUUUUUUUCAUCAAGAAUUAAACUUUUCAAACCUAUCCUAAAAGAGAAACCACGUUCUUCUUCUUGCAGUAGAAAGAGAGUAUGAAUCUCCAAGAACUUCCGAGUUUACCUGCAAUAUGCUUUCUCUGCAUCCAGAACACCCUU